UACAGAGGGUGCGAGCGUUGUCCGGAAUCACUGGGCGUAAAGGGCUCGUAGGCGGCCAACUAAGUCAGACGUGAAAUCCCUCGGCUUAACCGGGGAACUGCAUCUGAUACUGGAUGGCUUGAAUCCGGGAGAGGGAUGCGGAAUUCCAGGUGUAGCGGUGAAAUGCGUAGAUAUCUGGAGGAACACCGGUGGCGAAGGCGGCAUCCUGGACCGGCAUUGACGCUGAGGAGCGAAAGCCAGGGGAGCAAACGGG
Molecule: ribosomal RNA, 253 nt
Filed under: uncultured bacterium
Lineage: Bacteria
Description: partial 16S ribosomal RNA
Rfam family: Bacterial small subunit ribosomal RNA
Source: RNAcentral